UACGAGGGGGGCAAAUGUUGUUCGGAAUCACUGGGCGUAAAGGGAGCGUAGGCGGGUUUUUAAGUCAGGUGUUUAAUCCCGGGGCCCAACCCCGGACAGGCACUUGAAACUGGGAAUCUUGAAUAGUGGAGAGGUCGGUGGAAUUGGGGGUGUAGCGGUGGAAUGCGUAGAGAUCCCCAAGAACACCCGUUGCGAAGGCGGCCGACUGGACACAUAUUGACGCUGAGGCUCGAAAGCAUGGGGAGCAAACAGG
Molecule: ribosomal RNA, 253 nt
Filed under: uncultured bacterium
Lineage: Bacteria
Description: partial 16S ribosomal RNA
Rfam family: Bacterial small subunit ribosomal RNA
Source: RNAcentral